UCAGGAUCCUAAGACAGUUGCCUGAAGACCCAGACACCCAUCCCUUCUUAUUCUGGAGGGACCACAAUAUAUACCACAAACAUGGGCCAUCUCUGUCAUCUCAGAUAGCUCCGUCAUGGAGCACUGGUUUGGGCAUUAUCUACAUCUGUGUUUCCUCCAUUAGAUCCUUCUCUUGAAGGACAGGAGUCUCCACAUCCUUAUCUUUACACCUCCAGCAUUUAGUCUUGAAUGGAUGGAGUUGCCUACUGGCAAGAAGCAAGCUUACCUCUUAAUUGGGAACCUGAGUUGGAAAUUCAGAGUGGGACAGGGUUAUUCAAAAAGGAGAUGCAGAGGCCAGGGACCAAGUGCAAGGUCAUCAUUCUAGAAGUAAAACCAAGAAGUACCAGGAGGGAGGUGAGGAAAAAGGAGGAGAGGAAGACAGCCAAGGAAGCUGAUCACUGAGGAGAUUUCCACUGUGAGGAAUAGAGCUUCACGCUGUUGGCAACUCUGGAAAGCAAUAACAAGGAGGAGGGGACUGCGACAUUUGCAUACUGGCUCCUUUCAGACAACUGUGAAGGCUGCUCCUAAGUGCCUUGGACAUACCUUGGGACUUCCAGCUUGUCAUCAGGAAGUGAACAGAGAAGGUUCUCCGGCAGGAAGAAAUGGGUGCUGGUAGUUGAAGGAUACUAGGGUGCACUGGCAAAGAGGGGAGGGAUAAAUGGGCAUUUAUAGGACAUGUUACACUCUCUUCUGCAUCUGAGAGGUCUGGCUACAAAGCCUCUACUCAAACUUAUAACUUUCCCAGAGAUGAAGAACCUACUUCCUCACAACCUACUGCAAGUCGGACAGUCAGCCUCUCAGAAACGCAAUGCUUGGGUCAAGCCAAAUUCCAUUCACUGCCCAGUCCUUCCAGUGCAUUCCACUUGAACAUGGACAGCUCCGGUGUCUGUCAGCAUCGAUAAAGAGCGUCUGUCAUGUGUUGGGCUUAGUAAAUAUAUUCUGAACGAA
This is a long non-coding RNA of Peromyscus eremicus (cactus mouse), 987 nucleotides long. RefSeq lists it as uncharacterized. The transcript is spliced from 2 exons. Lineage: Eukaryota; Metazoa; Chordata; Mammalia; Rodentia; Cricetidae. The record is from RefSeq and is a predicted model, not a curated record.